This is a non-coding RNA of Trachymyrmex cornetzi, 84 nucleotides long. NCBI's taxonomy places the organism in Eukaryota, Metazoa, Arthropoda, Insecta, Hymenoptera, Formicidae. The record is from Rfam.
GGAGUGCAAAAUCCUGCAUCAGCCUCCUCGUGGCGCAUUCUGGGGUUGUUGAAUUUUAAAUAUUCAACUAGCUAAUGGUGUAGG